GUUGCACGGGUACGGGGAUCAGGGUUCGAUUCCGGAGAGGGAGCCUGAGAAACGGCUACCACAUCCAAGGAAGGCAGCAGGCGCGCAAAUUACCCAAUCCAGACAAUGGGAGGUGGCGACCAGAAGUACUGGGUGGUAGACAAUGUCUACUAAUCCCGGAAUGAGCAUAAAGUAAAAAUUUAGUCGAGUAGCAACUGGAGGGCAAGUCUGGUGCCAGCAGCCGCGGUAAUUCCAGCUCCAGUAGCCUGUCGUAAAGUUGUUGCGUUUAAAACGCUCGUAGUUGGAUCAUAUGGUAAGAGUUGGUGAUCCCAUGGUGGACGGCGUUCAAACCAUCGUAAUUUCUAGUGAGUAGUUAGUUCUACUUCACUUUAGUUGUGAUUGGUGUCGUUACCUUAGGACUUUAGCCAGCUCUUGCUACUUGCAUGUAAGGAUGGCGAUUGGCCUUUAGUGCGUUGGUCGCUAUGUCUUACAGAGUGUGCCUUGAAUAAAUCAGAGUGCUCAAAGCAGGCGUGUGCCUGAAUGAUACAGCAUGGAACGAACAAACGUGUAUAGUGUAGAGUUGGUAAUUCUCGCAGUUGGUAAUUCUACAUAUCACCAACCACCUGUACGGAUGUUGGUUUCCGUAAAGGGGUGAUGAUUAAAACGAGCGGUUGGGGGUGUUGGUAUUUGGCCGCGAGAGGUGAAAUUCUUAGACCGGCCAAGGACUAACAAAAGCGAAGGCAUUCACCAAGACCGUUUCGAUUGAUCAAGAACGAUAGAGAGAGGUUCGAAGACGAUCAGAUACCGUCCUAGUUCUCUCUGUAAACUAUGCCAACCCGGGAUCAGUUUAGAGCUAUUUAACACGCUCCAGGUUGGUCCCCCCGAGAAAC
Molecule: ribosomal RNA, 869 nt
Filed under: Myxobolus sp. 1 HS-2015
Lineage: Eukaryota; Metazoa; Cnidaria; Myxozoa; Bivalvulida; Myxobolidae
Description: bacterial SSU rRNA
Rfam family: Eukaryotic small subunit ribosomal RNA
Source: RNAcentral